GGAGGGAUUCCCGAGUGGCUAAAGGGGGCAGACUGUAAAUCUGUUGGCUCAGCCUUCGAAGGUUCGAAUCCUUCUCCCUCCA
Molecule: transfer RNA, 82 nt
Filed under: Garciella nitratireducens
Lineage: Bacteria; Bacillati; Bacillota; Clostridia; Eubacteriales; Eubacteriaceae
Also listed under: 1 other name
Description: tRNA-Tyr
Rfam family: tRNA
About the family: Transfer RNA (tRNA) molecules are approximately 80 nucleotides in length. Their secondary structure includes four short double-helical elements and three loops (D, anti-codon, and T loops).
Source: RNAcentral